This 899-nucleotide ribosomal RNA is filed under the name uncultured bacterium. RNAcentral's name for it is "bacterial SSU rRNA". It matches the Rfam family "Bacterial small subunit ribosomal RNA", at positions 88 to 985 of the family's 1533-position model. The record is from RNAcentral.
AAGUAAAGCGGCGGACGGGUGAGUAACGCGUGAGAAUCUGCCUUUCAGUGAAGAAUACUCUCGAGAAAUCGAGCUUAAUGCUGCAUACGUCUCGAAAGAGAGAAAGAUGGCCUCUUGCUGUCGCUGAAAGAUGAGCUUGCGUACUAUCAGCUAGUUGGUGGGGUAAAGGCCUACCAAGGCGAUGAUGGUUAGCCGGCCUGAGAGGGUGUACGGCCACACUGGAACUGAGACACGGUCCAGACUCCUACGGGAGGCAGCAGUGGGGAAUAUUGCGCAAUGGGCGAAAGCCUGACGCAGCGACGCCGCGUGGAGGAUGAAGGUCUUCGGAUUGUAAACUUCUGUUAAGUGGGAGGAAAGAACAGGUUUUAAUAGAACCUGGUGAUGACUGUACCAUUAAAGAAAGCACCGGCUAACUUCGUGCCAGCAGCCGCGGUAAUACGAAGGGUGCGAGCGUUAUUCGGAAUCAUUGGGCGUAAAGGGUGCGUAGGCGGCAUGACAAGCCAAUUGUUAAAUAUCCCAGCCUAACUGGGAAAAUGCAGUAGAUACUGUCGUGCUAGAGGAUGGAAGAGAGAAGUGGAAUUCUUGGAGUAGCGGUAAAAUGCGUAGAUCUCAAGAGGAACACCGAUGGCGAAGGCAGCUUCUUGGUCCAUUUCUGACGCUAAUGCACGAAAGCGUGGGGAGCAAACAGGAUUAGAUACCCUGGUAGUCCACGCCGUAAACGAUGAUCACUAGACGUUAUUUUUGCUUGCAAAAAUAGUGUCGUAGCUAACGCGUUAAGUGAUCCGCCUGGGAAGUACGGUCGCAAGAUUAAAACUUAAAGGAAUUGACGGGGGUCCGCACAAGCGGUGGAACAUGUGGUUUAAUUCGACACUACGCGAGAAACCUUACCUAGGCUUGAC